Molecule: ribosomal RNA, 468 nt
Filed under: uncultured bacterium
Lineage: Bacteria
Description: partial 16S ribosomal RNA
Rfam family: Bacterial small subunit ribosomal RNA
Source: RNAcentral
GACGAACGCUGGCGGCGUGCUUAACACACGCAAGUCGAACGGAAAGGCCCUGCUUUUGUGGGGUGCUCGAGUGGCGAACGGGUGAGUAACACGUGAGUAACCUGCCCUUGACUUUGGGAUAACUUCAGGAAACUGGGGCUAAUACCGGAUAGGAGCUCCUGCUGCAUGGUGGGGGUUGGAAAGUUUCGGCGGUUGGGGAUGGACUCGCGGCUUAUCAGCUUGUUGGUGGGGUAGUGGCUUACCAAGGCUUUGACGGGUAGCCGGCCUGAGAGGGUGACCUGCCAAAUUGGGACUGAGAUACGGCCCAGACUCCUACGGGAGGCAGCAGUGGGGAAUAGUGCACAAUGGGCGGAAGCCUGAUGCAGCAACGCCGCGUGCGGGAUGACGGCCUUCGGGUUGUAUACCGCUUUCGCCUGUGACGAAGCGUGAGUGACGGUAAUGGGUAAAGAAGCACCGGCUAACUACGUG